This 139-nucleotide ribosomal RNA is filed under the name Melaphe vestita. Its description in RNAcentral is "partial small subunit ribosomal RNA". The record is from RNAcentral. Lineage: Eukaryota; Metazoa; Arthropoda; Diplopoda; Polydesmida; Xystodesmidae.
AAGGUGGAUUUAUUAGUAAUUUAGUUUUAAUAUUGUUAAGUGAAUUGUGGAAUAACAUGUGUACAUAUUGCCCGUCGCUCUCUGAUAUUGUGAGAUAAGUCGUAACAUAGUUGAUAUACCGGAAGGUGUAUCUUUUUGU